GCAAAAAAUUUGCAAUAUCCAAUACUUCUUUCUUCGUUUAUCUUACAUGAUCUUAUGUAUGUAUUGAUGAUUAUGUAUAGGUAUGGGACAACAUUAAUCAAAAUUCAAUUAGGGAGGUAUUUAACUCAGGAAAUGUUUAUAAAUGAUAGCAAAGGGAUUGCAUUGCACUAGGUGAUUAAUUUCGUGGGGAAGUGGGAGUUUGAGACAGACUUAUUUAAUUUAAUAAUGAAUGAAAGAUACUCAUAACAGUUGCCAUACUUCUGAAAAUCAGACAGGAAGUAAUACUCUUCAUUUUUUAUCAUAGGUGAGAGAUGAACUUGAG
Molecule: unclassified non-coding RNA, 322 nt
Filed under: Hevea brasiliensis (rubber tree)
Lineage: Eukaryota; Viridiplantae; Streptophyta; Magnoliopsida; Malpighiales; Euphorbiaceae
Source: RNAcentral